GCCUCGGUAGCGUAGUGGAUAACGCGGCUGUCUUCUAAACAGUUAUAGGCAGGUUCGAUUCCUGUCCGGGGUAC
RNAcentral lists this transfer RNA (74 nucleotides) under Streptomyces phage Spilled. Its description in RNAcentral is "tRNA-Arg". It matches the Rfam family "tRNA". From Rfam's summary of the family: Transfer RNA (tRNA) molecules are approximately 80 nucleotides in length. Their secondary structure includes four short double-helical elements and three loops (D, anti-codon, and T loops). The record is from RNAcentral. RNAcentral also lists the same sequence under 1 other name. Lineage: Duplodnaviria; Heunggongvirae; Uroviricota; Caudoviricetes; Stanwilliamsviridae.